UUCACAUGCAACAUCCCUUAC
Molecule: microRNA, 21 nt
Filed under: Drosophila melanogaster (fruit fly)
Lineage: Eukaryota; Metazoa; Arthropoda; Insecta; Diptera; Drosophilidae
Description: dme-miR-954-3p
Gene: dme-miR-954-3p
Source: miRBase by way of RNAcentral